GAUGAACGCUGGCGGCGUGCCUAAUACAUGCAAGUCGAGCGAACGGACGAGAAGCUUGCUUCUCUGAUGUUAGCGGCGGACGGGUGAGUAACACGUGGAUAACCUACCUAUAAGACUGGGAUAACUUCGGGAAACCGGAGCUAAUACCGGAUAAUAUUUUGAACCGCAUGGUUCAAAAGUGAAAGACGGUCUUGCUGUCACUUAUAGAUGGAUCCGCGCUGCAUUAGCUAGUUGGUAAGGUAACGGCUUACCAAGGCAACGAUGCAUAGCCGACCUGAGAGGGUGGUCGGCCACACUGGAACUGAGACACGGUCCAGACUCCUACGGGAGGCAGCAGUCGGGAAUCUUCCGCAAUGGGCGAAAGCCUGACGGAGCAACGCCGCGUGAGUGAUGAAGGUCUUCGGAUCGUAAAACUCUGUUAUUAGGGAAGAACAUAUGUGUAAGUAACUGUGCACAUCUUGACGGUACCUAAUCAGAAAGCCACGGCUAACUACGUG
RNAcentral lists this ribosomal RNA (497 nucleotides) under uncultured bacterium. Its description in RNAcentral is "partial 16S ribosomal RNA". It matches the Rfam family "Bacterial small subunit ribosomal RNA", at positions 28 to 507 of the family's 1533-position model. The record is from RNAcentral.